CAAAUCAGGUAGGAUUACCCGCUGAACUUAAGCAUAUCAAUAAGCGGAGGAAAAGAAACUAACAAGGAUUCCCCUAGUAACUGCGAGUGAAGCGGGAAAAGCUCAAAUUUGUAAUCUGGCGGUCUUGGGCCGUCCGAAUUGUAAACUAGAGAAGCGUUAUCCGCGCUGGACCGUGUACAAGUCCCCUGGAAUGGGGCGUCAUAGAGGGUGAGAAUCCCGUCUUUGACACGGACUACCAGGGCUUUGUGAUGCGCUCUCAAAGAGUCGAGUUGUUUGGGAAUGCAGCUCAAAAUGGGUGGUAAAUUCCAUCUAAAGCUAAAUAUUGGCGAGAGACCGAUAGCGAACAAGUACCGUGAGGGAAAGAUGAAAAGAACUUUGGAAAGAGAGUUAAACAGUACGUGAAAUUGCUGAAAGGGAAACGCUUGAAGUCAGUCGCGUUGGCUAGGGAUCAGCCUUACUCUGGUGGGGUGUACUUCCUUGUUGACGGGUCAGCAUCAGUUUUGGUUGCUGGAUAAAGGCUGAGGGAAUGUGGCACCUUCGGGUGUGUUAUAGCCCUUGGUCAGAUACAGUGGCUGGGACUGAGGAACUCAGCACGCGCAAGCUGUGCUUAGGAUGCUG
RNAcentral lists this ribosomal RNA (618 nucleotides) under Hohenbuehelia leiospora. RNAcentral's name for it is "eukaryotic LSU rRNA". It matches the Rfam family "Eukaryotic large subunit ribosomal RNA", at positions 1 to 628 of the family's 3401-position model. The record is from RNAcentral. Lineage: Eukaryota; Fungi; Basidiomycota; Agaricomycetes; Agaricales; Pleurotaceae.